AUACGUAGGGGGCGAGCGUUGUCCGGAAUGAUUGGGCGUAAAGGGCGCGUAGGCGGCCCGGUAAGUCUGGAGUGAAAGUCCUGUUUUUAAGAUGGGAAUUGCUUUGGAUACUGUCGGGCUUGAGUGCAGGAGAGGUAAGUGGAAUUCCCAGUGUAGCGGGUAAAUGCGUAGAGAUUGGGAGGAACACCAGUGGCGAAGGCGACUUACUGGACUGUAACUGACGCUGAGGCGCGAAAGUGUGGGGAGCAAACAGGAUUAGAUACCCUGGUAGUCCACACUGUAAACGAUGAAUGCUAGGUGUAGGGGGUAUCGACCCCUUCUGUGCCGCAGUCAACACAAUAAGCAUUCCGCCUGGGGAGUACGGCCGCAAGGUUGAAACUCAAAUGAAUUGGCGGGG
RNAcentral lists this ribosomal RNA (397 nucleotides) under uncultured bacterium. Its description in RNAcentral is "partial 16S ribosomal RNA". It matches the Rfam family "Bacterial small subunit ribosomal RNA", at positions 523 to 918 of the family's 1533-position model. The record is from RNAcentral.